GGACUACUGGGGUAUCUAAUCCUGUUUGCUACCCACGCUUUCGCGCCUCAGCGUCAGAACCGGUCCAGGUAGCCGCCUUCGCCACCGGUGUUCCUCCCAGUAUCUACGCAUUUCACCGCUACACUGGGAAUUCCACUACCCUCUCCCGGCCUCUAGCCGUGCAGUUUCAAAGGCAGUUCCUCAGUUGAGCCGAGGGAUUUCACCUUUGACUUGCCCAGCCGCCUACGCGCCCUUUACGCCCAAUAAUUCCGAAUAACGCUUGCCACCUCUGUAUUACCGCGGCUGCUGGCAC
Molecule: ribosomal RNA, 292 nt
Filed under: uncultured Acidobacteriota bacterium
Lineage: Bacteria; Pseudomonadati; Acidobacteriota
Description: uncultured Acidobacteria bacterium partial 16S ribosomal RNA
Source: RNAcentral